CUGGGAAGGGUUGCAAUGUAAGCCUUUGAAAGCCAGUGAGAACAAGGAAGAUGUUGGGGAUAAUUCAGACAGAAAUUCCCAGUGACUUUGCAAGCUUCUAUUAGUAUGGCUCCAUCUGAAGAAGAAUGUGGUAGUUACCUCAGUACACUGAAGUUGGAUAGAAACGACAUGGGGAGCCAACCUUGCUAUUCCUGCAACCAGUUUUUACAAGUUUUAGCUAUAUAGGUUAAAUAAUUUUAACUGAUAUUCAUAUUGUAUUUUAAUAUUGUUAAGCCCUUAUGGUGAAAGAUGGACAAGAAAUUUGAAUAAUAAAAAUAAAAGCUAAUACAAAAUAAUGA
This is a long non-coding RNA of Podarcis raffonei (Aeolian wall lizard), 338 nucleotides long. RefSeq lists it as uncharacterized. The transcript has 2 exons. Lineage: Eukaryota; Metazoa; Chordata; Lepidosauria; Squamata; Lacertidae. The record is from RefSeq and is a predicted model, not a curated record.